CAUCUCCAUGGGGUCUAAUGAGAAUUCUCCUAUGGGAUUUUUUCAUUGGAUUUUGGAUCAUUGCAGAAAAUAAUCUCUGUGUUAAACACACGUUUCUGAAGCGUAGGCGUUUUAAGUAAAAAGCUAACGUUAUGCUACAAGCUAACUACACCACGGUCGGAUGAUUGUGACGUCACUAGCGUUAUGCUUCAGAUGAUCUCUGAUAAACUAAUCCACGUAGCUUAAUAAAUAG
Long non-coding RNA from Labrus mixtus (cuckoo wrasse), 232 nucleotides. RefSeq lists it as uncharacterized. The record is from RefSeq and is a predicted model, not a curated record. NCBI's taxonomy places the organism in Eukaryota, Metazoa, Chordata, Actinopteri, Labriformes, Labridae. The transcript has 2 exons.